This is a ribosomal RNA of Staphylococcus aureus subsp. aureus NCTC 8325, 1552 nucleotides long. It matches the Rfam family "Bacterial small subunit ribosomal RNA". Lineage: Bacteria; Bacillati; Bacillota; Bacilli; Caryophanales; Staphylococcaceae. The record is from Rfam.
UUUAUGGAGAGUUUGAUCCUGGCUCAGGAUGAACGCUGGCGGCGUGCCUAAUACAUGCAAGUCGAGCGAACGGACGAGAAGCUUGCUUCUCUGAUGUUAGCGGCGGACGGGUGAGUAACACGUGGAUAACCUACCUAUAAGACUGGGAUAACUUCGGGAAACCGGAGCUAAUACCGGAUGAUAUUUUGAACCGCAUGGUUCAAAAGUGAAAGACGGUCUUGCUGUCACUUAUAGAUGGAUCCGCGCUGCAUUAGCUAGUUGGUAAGGUAACGGCUUACCAAGGCAACGAUGCAUAGCCGACCUGAGAGGGUGAUCGGCCACACUGGAACUGAGACACGGUCCAGACUCCUACGGGAGGCAGCAGUAGGGAAUCUUCCGCAAUGGGCGAAAGCCUGACGGAGCAACGCCGCGUGAGUGAUGAAGGUCUUCGGAUCGUAAAACUCUGUUAUUAGGGAAGAACAUAUGUGUAAGUAACUGUGCACAUCUUGACGGUACCUAAUCAGAAAGCCACGGCUAACUACGUGCCAGCAGCCGCGGUAAUACGUAGGUGGCAAGCGUUAUCCGGAAUUAUUGGGCGUAAAGCGCGCGUAGGCGGUUUUUUAAGUCUGAUGUGAAAGCCCACGGCUCAACCGUGGAGGGUCAUUGGAAACUGGAAAACUUGAGUGCAGAAGAGGAAAGUGGAAUUCCAUGUGUAGCGGUGAAAUGCGCAGAGAUAUGGAGGAACACCAGUGGCGAAGGCGACUUUCUGGUCUGUAACUGACGCUGAUGUGCGAAAGCGUGGGGAUCAAACAGGAUUAGAUACCCUGGUAGUCCACGCCGUAAACGAUGAGUGCUAAGUGUUAGGGGGUUUCCGCCCCUUAGUGCUGCAGCUAACGCAUUAAGCACUCCGCCUGGGGAGUACGACCGCAAGGUUGAAACUCAAAGGAAUUGACGGGGACCCGCACAAGCGGUGGAGCAUGUGGUUUAAUUCGAAGCAACGCGAAGAACCUUACCAAAUCUUGACAUCCUUUGACAACUCUAGAGAUAGAGCCUUCCCCUUCGGGGGACAAAGUGACAGGUGGUGCAUGGUUGUCGUCAGCUCGUGUCGUGAGAUGUUGGGUUAAGUCCCGCAACGAGCGCAACCCUUAAGCUUAGUUGCCAUCAUUAAGUUGGGCACUCUAAGUUGACUGCCGGUGACAAACCGGAGGAAGGUGGGGAUGACGUCAAAUCAUCAUGCCCCUUAUGAUUUGGGCUACACACGUGCUACAAUGGACAAUACAAAGGGCAGCGAAACCGCGAGGUCAAGCAAAUCCCAUAAAGUUGUUCUCAGUUCGGAUUGUAGUCUGCAACUCGACUACAUGAAGCUGGAAUCGCUAGUAAUCGUAGAUCAGCAUGCUACGGUGAAUACGUUCCCGGGUCUUGUACACACCGCCCGUCACACCACGAGAGUUUGUAACACCCGAAGCCGGUGGAGUAACCUUUUAGGAGCUAGCCGUCGAAGGUGGGACAAAUGAUUGGGGUGAAGUCGUAACAAGGUAGCCGUAUCGGAAGGUGCGGCUGGAUCACCUCCUUU